AUUCCAGCUCUAAUAGCGUAUAUUAAUGUUGUUGCAGUUAAAAAGCUCGUAGUUGGAUUUUGGAGUUUGACAAGUGGUCUGCCUAAGGUGUGUACUGCUUGUCGGCUCUUCUUUUCUGGGGACCACGCUGCUCUUUAUUGAGGGGUGCUGGGAAUCAGAUCUUUUACUUUGAAAAAAUUAGAGUGUUCAGAGCAGGCCCACGCAUUGAAUACAUUAGCAUGGAAUAAUGGAAUAGGACUUUGGUCUUAUUUUGUUGGUUUCUAAGGCCGAGGUAAUGAUUAAUAGGGAUAGUUGGGGGCGUUUAUAUUCCAUUGUCAGAGGUGAAAUUCUUGGAUUUAUGGAAGAUAAACUACUGCGAAAGCAUUCGCCAAGGAUGUUUUCAUUA
RNAcentral lists this ribosomal RNA (385 nucleotides) under Katablepharidaceae sp. Its description in RNAcentral is "partial small subunit ribosomal RNA". It matches the Rfam family "Eukaryotic small subunit ribosomal RNA", at positions 582 to 975 of the family's 1831-position model. Lineage: Eukaryota; Cryptophyceae; Kathablepharidacea; Katablepharidaceae. The record is from RNAcentral.